CAGAGUGAUGCCUGAGUAAAGGAUAGUUUUGAUAGAACUACUCACGUGGAUCCCACUCACUCU
Molecule: transfer RNA, 63 nt
Filed under: Engaeus lyelli
Lineage: Eukaryota; Metazoa; Arthropoda; Malacostraca; Decapoda; Parastacidae
Description: tRNA-Ile
Source: RNAcentral